Etheostoma spectabile (orangethroat darter) is the source of this 827-nucleotide long non-coding RNA. RefSeq lists it as uncharacterized. The transcript has 2 exons. Lineage: Eukaryota; Metazoa; Chordata; Actinopteri; Perciformes; Percidae. The record is from RefSeq and is a predicted model, not a curated record.
CAAACAAAGACUCCUGGAAGCCUGUGCGCGAUCAAUCUUACUCGCCAAAAGGUCUGACAGCUCGGUGCCCUCACAACACAUUUAAGGCUUCUUACUCUCCCCCGGAUCAAAUGCAGCCAGGAAGCGGCGAGAAACACUGGCCACUCAGAUUAGAACCAGUUUCUCCUUGCAGUUGUAGCCGGGCUGUCGCUGGAGGGAUGUUUUAAAAGAUAAAUAAGAAUACAACUACACAAGAUGCGACCAUUUCCUUUUGAGGAGGCUAUAAUGCGCCAAUGAAUCUUCAGAAGGGCCUGAUGACAUUUUUAUUAUAAUGGAUGUGCCCACGCAGAUGAGAGGACGGAAGAAGGCCACCCGAGUGUUUCCUUCACGUCGAAUCAAGAAGAAGAGAGAAAAAAAAAACAAGUCGCUUUGAUUUAAUUUGAAUGUAUCUGCGCACAUUUCCCUUUCUGUCAUUGAAAAUUAAACAUAGCCUCUGGUUUUAAAUUAUUUUACCAAUAAGUAUGUUUAGCAAAGACCAUUCAUGGUUUAUUAUUUAGCCUAACUAUUAAUAUUGUAUUGUCUCUUAUACUGCCAAUUAUCUAAAAUUUUUUUCUUCUUUCCAUUACCUCUACUACAAUUUUUUACCGUCAUGAAAUAUAUGAGAAUACCGAUAUGUAAGAAUUGCAAAACUAGAAAUACAUUUUCAAGAUUUUUAAUUUUAAAAAGAUGUGUUGUUUAAUUUUGUGAAAUACUUCUGAUGUGUCUUAAUUAAAACUGCAAUAUUUGCUUGAUUGAUAUUUCAGUUAUUUUAUUUAUUUCUUCAAACUGGAGCAGCGUGGAAUGUAUGA